GGGGAUGUAGUUCAGUGGUAGAGCAUUCGACUGCAGAUCGAGAGGUCCCUGGUUCAAUCCCGGGCGUCCCCU
RNAcentral lists this transfer RNA (72 nucleotides) under Penaeus monodon (black tiger shrimp). RNAcentral describes it as "tRNA-Cys". It matches the Rfam family "tRNA". From Rfam's summary of the family: Transfer RNA (tRNA) molecules are approximately 80 nucleotides in length. Their secondary structure includes four short double-helical elements and three loops (D, anti-codon, and T loops). The record is from RNAcentral. Lineage: Eukaryota; Metazoa; Arthropoda; Malacostraca; Decapoda; Penaeidae.